CAGCCGCCGCGGUAAUUCCGGCGGCCCGAGUGGCGGCCACUAUUAUUGGGCUUAAAGCGUCCGUAGCCGGGUUGGUUAGUCUCCCGGGAAAUCUGGCCGCUUAACGGUCAGAAUUCCGGGAGAUACUGCCAGCCUAGGGACCGGGAGAGGCCGAGGGUAUUCCCGGAGUAGGGGUGAAAUCCUAUAAUCCCGGGAGGACCACCUGUGGCGAAGGCGCUCGGCUGGAACGCGUCCGACGGUGAGGGACGAAGGCCAGGGGAGCAAACCGGAUUAGAUACCCGGGUAGUCCUGGCUGUAAACGAUGCGGACUUUGUGUCGGACAAGCUAUGAGCUUGUCCGGUGCCGGAGGGAAACCGUUAAGUCCGCCGCCUGGGGAGUACGGCCGCAAGGCUGAAACUUAAAGGAAUUGGCGGG
This 414-nucleotide ribosomal RNA is filed under the name uncultured microorganism. RNAcentral's name for it is "bacterial SSU rRNA". It matches the Rfam family "Archaeal small subunit ribosomal RNA", at positions 459 to 872 of the family's 1478-position model. The record is from RNAcentral.